RNAcentral lists this RNase P RNA (337 nucleotides) under Sulfuricurvum sp. 17-40-25. Its description in RNAcentral is "RNase P RNA component class A". It matches the Rfam family "Bacterial RNase P class A". From Rfam's summary of the family: Ribonuclease P (RNase P) is a ubiquitous endoribonuclease, found in archaea, bacteria and eukarya as well as chloroplasts and mitochondria. Its best characterised activity is the generation of mature 5'-ends of tRNAs by cleaving the 5'-leader elements of precursor-tRNAs. Lineage: Bacteria; Pseudomonadati; Campylobacterota; Epsilonproteobacteria; Campylobacterales; Sulfurimonadaceae. The record is from RNAcentral. RNAcentral also lists the same sequence under 1 other name.
ACAGGUACACAGGUGAUAGCUUGGGCAUUGCGCUCAAGAGGAAAGUCCGGGCUGCUGUAGGACACGGUUCCAUCUAACGGAUGGCCAUGGUAACAUGAGGGACAGUGCAACAGAGAGUAGACCGCCUUCUAUUUUUAUAGUAGGUGAGGGUGAAACGGUGGGGUAAGAGCCCACCAGUCUUGUAGGCAACUAUAAGAGCUAUGUAAACCCAACCGCGCAGCAAGAAACAGAUGGUUAGCGUCCUACAUCGCUAUUGUUUCGCUAGAGGCUCACAGUGAUGUGAGCAGUAGAUUAAUUAUCACUAAUCCAGAACCCGGCUUAUUGUGUGCCUAACUCG